AUAUUAAUAAGCGGAGGAAAAGAAACUAACAAGGAUUCCCAUAGUAGCGGCGAGCGAAGAGGGAAAAGCUCAAAUUUGAAAUCUGGCAAUUACAUUGUCCGAAUUGUAUUUGAAAGACAUGAAGUGAACCAGUAAAAGUAAAUUCAAGUCCUUUGGAAAAAGGCAACAAAGAGGGUGAAAUUCCCGUUUUGAUUUAUUUUAGCUGGUGUAACGCUAGUGUCGACGAGUCGGAUUGUUUGGGAAUGCAGUCCAAAAUGGGUGGUACACGCCAUCUAAAGCUAAAUACAAGUAAGAGACCGAUAGCGCACAAGUA
RNAcentral lists this ribosomal RNA (313 nucleotides) under uncultured eukaryote. Its description in RNAcentral is "partial large subunit ribosomal RNA". It matches the Rfam family "Eukaryotic large subunit ribosomal RNA", at positions 40 to 350 of the family's 3401-position model. The record is from RNAcentral.